This 582-nucleotide ribosomal RNA is filed under the name uncultured bacterium. RNAcentral's name for it is "bacterial SSU rRNA". It matches the Rfam family "Bacterial small subunit ribosomal RNA", at positions 287 to 859 of the family's 1533-position model. The record is from RNAcentral.
CUGGUCUGAGAGGAUGAUCAGCCACACUGGAACUGAGACACGGUCCAGACUCCUACGGGAGGCAGCAGUGAGGAAUAUUGCGCAAUGGGGGCAACCCUGACGCAGCAACGCCGCGUGAGUGAGGAAGGUUUUCGGACCGUAAAGCUCUGUCGAGCGGGAAGAAAUGCAUGGUGGCUAAUAUCCAUCAUGCUUGACGGUACCGCUAAAGGAAGCACCGGCUAACUCCGUGCCAGCAGCCGCGGUAAUACGGGGGGUGCGAGCGUUGUUCGGAAUUAUUGGGCGUAAAGAGCGUGUAGGCGGCCGAAUAAGUCAGAUGUGAAAUCCCUGGGCUUAACCCAGGACGUGCAUUUGAAACUAUUCGGCUUGAGUAGGGGAGAGGAAAGUGGAAUUCCUGGUGUAGAGGUGAAAUUCGUAGAUAUCAGGAGGAACACCGGUGGCGAAGGCGACUUUCUGGCCCUAUACUGACGCUGAGACGCGAGAGCGUGGGUAGCAAACAGGAUUAGAUACCCUGGUAGUCCACGCUGUAAACGAUGUUCACUAGGUGUUGGGGGUAUUGACCCUCUCAGUGCCGCAGCUAACGCA